RNAcentral lists this transfer RNA (63 nucleotides) under Grypocephalus pallipectus. Its description in RNAcentral is "tRNA-Asp". It matches the Rfam family "tRNA". From Rfam's summary of the family: Transfer RNA (tRNA) molecules are approximately 80 nucleotides in length. Their secondary structure includes four short double-helical elements and three loops (D, anti-codon, and T loops). The record is from RNAcentral. Lineage: Eukaryota; Metazoa; Arthropoda; Insecta; Hemiptera; Alydidae.
AAGAAAUUAGUUUAAAAUAAAACAUUAACUUGUCAAGUUAAAAAUACAUAAUUGUAUUUCUUA